Coffea eugenioides is the source of this 311-nucleotide long non-coding RNA. RefSeq lists it as uncharacterized. NCBI's taxonomy places the organism in Eukaryota, Viridiplantae, Streptophyta, Magnoliopsida, Gentianales, Rubiaceae. The transcript has 2 exons. The record is from RefSeq and is a predicted model, not a curated record.
GAGGAACUACGAGGUCUUCUUCCAUGUGCUUGUGUGGCAGGGUCAUCUUAGCUGUCUUGCUUCCGCCAUGGGCGGGCAGUGAAUACCAAUAACAUCACUUUGCCUGAUGAUGGUGGGGGAGCAUUGAGCGGGAUUUAUUUGGGAUUAAGGGACUCUUGCGAAAAUAUACUCAUUUAUGCUAUGGGAUUACUUGGUGGGACUAAUAUGGUUUGGCCCAAAUUGGUGCCGCCCAAUUCUAUGAUGUAACAUAAAGCCCCAUUUGUGGUACUUUGAACACGUGGAUAUAUUUCAGGUCCACCAUUCAUUUUUUU